This 484-nucleotide ribosomal RNA is filed under the name uncultured bacterium. RNAcentral describes it as "partial 16S ribosomal RNA". It matches the Rfam family "Bacterial small subunit ribosomal RNA", at positions 29 to 507 of the family's 1533-position model. The record is from RNAcentral.
AUUGAACGCUGGCGGCAUGCUUUACACAUGCAAGUCGAACGGCAGCGCGGGCUUCGGCCUGGCGGCGAGUGGCGAACGGGUGAGUAAUACAUCGGAACGUGCCCAGUAGUGGGGGAUAGCUCGGCGAAAGCCGGAUUAAUACCGCAUACGACCUGAGGGUGAAAGCGGGGGAUCUUCGGACCUCGCGCUAUUGGAGCGGCCGAUGGCAGAUUAGCUAGUUGGUGGGGUAAAGGCCUACCAAGGCGACGAUCUGUAGCCGGUCUGAGAGGACGACCAGCCACACUGGGACUGAGACACGGCCCAGACUCCUACGGGAGGCAGCAGUGGGGAAUUUUGGACAAUGGGCGAAAGCCUGAUCCAGCAAUGCCGCGUGUGUGAUGAAGGCCUUCGGGUUGUAAAGCACUUUUGGCGGGAACGAAAAGGACUGUGCCAAUACCACGGUUCGAUGGCGGUACCCGCAGAAUAAGCACCGGCUAACUACGUG